AAGACAUCGUGGCUCUGAAUCAACAGGCACUGCAGGACUGAAAAUCUGCUCAACACCACAAGAAGAGAGGAGUAAGUUUGAGCUGAGUCGAGCUCAACCCUGCCAGGUCAUCUAUGCAGUUCCCAUGAGGACCCUCACACGUACUCACUCGCAAAGACCUCAUGGAUCGUACUUCAACAGGCAUUGGACUGAAAAAACUGCUCAACACCAAGACAUGAGAAUAGUUAAAACGGCAUGCAGAUGAAAAGAAAAGCCCAGGAGACAGUGAAGCUGGUUCCAGAAAGCGCAAACUCGAGAAUAGAAACGACAAGCUUGCUUCGAACAUGGAAGAAAAUCAACGAGGACAGAGUGGACUUGGAGCAGACAAGCAGGAGGGUCAUGACGCCAAAGUCGAUGGAACUGGAACAGGACAGGGUCACAGGAAACAUAAAGCUGUGGUAACUGGAGAUGGAGUUAAAAUUGAUUUGGAGACUGUUAAUAGAGCCUUUCUUGAAUUAGCAGAGAAAGGUCGUCCAGAUACUGUCAAGAUAUUGAUAGAUGUUGGGGCUGAUGUUAAUGCCAAGGACACUAACAAUGUCACACCCUUGCUUGCAUCAGCAUGGGGAGGUCAUUCUGAUACUGUCAAGAUAUUGAUAGAUGCUGGGGCUGAUGUUGAUGCCAAGGACACUGACAAUGCCACACCCUUGCUUGCAUCAGCAUGGGGAGGUCAUUCUGAUACUGUCAAGAUAUUGAUAGAUGCUGGGGCUGAUGUUGAUGCCAAGGACACUAACAAUGUCACACCCUUGCUUGCAUCAGCACUGGGAGGUCAUUCUGAUACUGUCAAGAUAUUGAUAGAUGCUGGGGCUGAUGUUGAUGCCAAGGACACUAACAAUGUCACACCCUUGCAUUAUUCAGCAUGGGGAGGUCAUUCUGAUACUGUCAAGAUAUUGAUAGAUGCUGGGGCUGAUGUUGAUGCCAAGGACACUAACAAUGUCACACCCUUGCAUUAUUCAGCACGG
Molecule: long non-coding RNA, 998 nt
Organism: Lineus longissimus
Lineage: Eukaryota; Metazoa; Nemertea; Pilidiophora; Heteronemertea; Lineidae
Exons: 3
Source: RefSeq, a predicted model, not a curated record